This 333-nucleotide ribosomal RNA is filed under the name uncultured bacterium. RNAcentral's name for it is "partial 16S ribosomal RNA". It matches the Rfam family "Bacterial small subunit ribosomal RNA", at positions 338 to 682 of the family's 1533-position model. The record is from RNAcentral.
CCUACGGGAGGCUGCAGUCGAGAAUCAUUCACAAUGGGGGAAACCCUGAUGGGGCGACGCCGCGUGGGGGAAUGAAGGUCUGCGGAUUGUAAACCCCUGUCAUGUGGGAGCAAAUUAAAAAGAUAGUACCACAAGAGGAAGAGACGGCUAACGCUGGGCCAGCAGCCGCGGUAAUACAGAGGACUCAAGCGUUGUUCGGAAUCACUGGGCGUAAAGCGUGCGUAGGCUGUUUCGUAAGUCGUGUGUGAAAGGCGCGUGCUCAACCCGCGGACGGCACAUGAUACUGCGAGACUAGAGUAAUGGAGGGGGAACCGGAUUUCUCGGUGUAGCCGU